This 353-nucleotide ribosomal RNA is filed under the name uncultured archaeon. RNAcentral's name for it is "bacterial SSU rRNA". It matches the Rfam family "Archaeal small subunit ribosomal RNA", at positions 34 to 417 of the family's 1478-position model. The record is from RNAcentral.
CGAGGUUCGACUAAGCCAUGUGGGUUCUUGCAUACAUGGCGUACUGCUCAGAAGGACGUUUCCUACCCUCAGUCGGGAUAAACCGGGAAACUGGGUAUAAAAGUAGACUCGAAUGCUGGAAUGCAUCGAGAUUGAACUCCGGCGCCCGAGGAUGGAUCUGCGGCCUAUCAGGUAGUAGUGGGUGUAGCGUACCUACUAGCCUACGACGGGUACGGGUUGUGAGAGCAAGACCCGGAGAUGGAUCUGAGACACGAAUCCAGGCCCUACGGGUGCAGCAGGCGCGAAAACUUUACAAUGCUGGCAACAGCGAAAAGGGGAGCCCGAGGCCGGUUACAAAUCUGGCUGUCGAGAUG